RNAcentral lists this ribosomal RNA (390 nucleotides) under uncultured organism. RNAcentral describes it as "bacterial SSU rRNA". It matches the Rfam family "Bacterial small subunit ribosomal RNA", at positions 526 to 896 of the family's 1533-position model. The record is from RNAcentral.
CAGAGGGCGCGAGCGUUGUCCGGAAUCACUGGGCGUAAAGGGCGCGUAGGUGGCCAGCAUAAGGCCGCGGUGAAAGUCCGGAGCUCAACUCCGGAUCUGCCGCGGCGACUGUGCGGCUUGGGCACUGUAGAGGCAGAUGGAAUUCCGGGUGUAGCGGUGGAAUGCGUAGAGAUCCGGAAGAACACCGGUGGCGAAGGCGAUCUGCUGGGCAGUGGACCGCAAGGUCCAAUAGCCGACACUGAGGCGCGACAGCGUGGGGAGCAAACAGGAUUAGAUACCCUGGUAGUCCACGCCGUAAACGAUGGGCACUAGGUGCUCCGGGGAGCGACCCUUGGAGUACCGGCGCUAACGCAUGAAGUGCCCCGCCUGGGGAGUACGGCCGCAAGGCUG